RNAcentral lists this ribosomal RNA (506 nucleotides) under uncultured bacterium. RNAcentral's name for it is "partial 16S ribosomal RNA". It matches the Rfam family "Bacterial small subunit ribosomal RNA", at positions 29 to 523 of the family's 1533-position model. The record is from RNAcentral.
AGUGAACGCUGGCGGUAGGCCUAACACAUGCAAGUCGAACGGCAGCACAGAGGAGCUUGCUCCUUGGGUGGCGAGUGGCGGACGGGUGAGGAAUACAUCGGAAUCUACUCUGUCGUGGGGGAUAACGUAGGGAAACUUACGCUAAUACCGCAUACGACCUACGGGUGAAAGCAGGGGAUCUUCGGACCUUGUGCGAUUGAAUGAGCCGAUGUAGGAUUAGCUAGUUGGCGGGGUAAAGGCCCACCAAGGCGACGAUCCGUAGCUGGUCUGAGAGGAUGAUCAGCCACACUGGAACUGAGACACGGUCCAGACUCCUACGGGAGGCAGCAGUGGGGAAUAUUGAACAAUGGGCGCAAGCCUGAUCCAGCCAUACCGCGUGGGUGAAGAAGGCCUUCGGGUUGUAAAGCCCUUUUGUUGGGAAAGAAAUCCAUCUGGUUAAUACCCGGGUGGGAUGACGGUACCCAAAGAAUAAGCACCGGCUAACUUCGUGCCAGCCGCCGCAGUAA